Molecule: non-coding RNA, 107 nt
Filed under: Tessaracoccus flavescens
Lineage: Bacteria; Bacillati; Actinomycetota; Actinomycetes; Propionibacteriales; Propionibacteriaceae
Description: TPP sequence
Rfam family: TPP riboswitch aptamer (THI element)
About the family: Vitamin B(1) in its active form thiamin pyrophosphate (TPP) is an essential coenzyme that is synthesised by coupling of pyrimidine and thiazole moieties in bacteria. The previously detected thiamin-regulatory element, thi box was extended, resulting in a new, highly conserved RNA secondary structure, the THI element, which is widely distributed in eubacteria and also occurs in some archaea.
Source: Rfam by way of RNAcentral
GAAGCCACACAGGGGAGCGCCUCGAGGCGCUGAGAGUGCGGACAGAGCCGCAGACCCUCAAACCUGAUCCGGCUAGCACCGGCGUAGGGAGUGGGACCUCCCCGGCA